Theobroma cacao (cacao) is the source of this 153-nucleotide non-coding RNA. NCBI's taxonomy places the organism in Eukaryota, Viridiplantae, Streptophyta, Magnoliopsida, Malvales, Malvaceae. The record is from RefSeq and is a predicted model, not a curated record.
GGAAAAUUGGUGGAUUUCAAGGAAUCAAGCAAUCAAAGGUGGUGAGCCCUCUAACAAAGUUAAAGAAAUUGUGCCCGAAGAUCGAGAAUAGCGAGUAUAUCGAACUCCUAGUACUGUUUAGAAUAGAUUGUAGAUAACUGAUAACAGCGACGA